UAUAUAUAUAUAUAUAUAUAAAUAAAUAUACAGGGUGACUGGUGAAUUACUAUCAAUAUUUGAGGACGUGUUAUUUGAGGAUCAUAUAUGACGAAAAAAAAUUACAUAUAAAAUAAAUAUUCAUAAACUUCUAAAUAAAGUUAACCAACAGUUAUCUCGCUAAUUACGCGUCGUCUGGACGCCCUAGCUGCGCAGUCGUCACAAAGCAGGUGUGUAUAGGUACAUUUAGUUAUCGCGCGGUCGUUUACCUACGUCCAAACACCGCCAAGUGUUAACAGGGUAGCAGGCUACUUUUGAUAAACCAGUAUGAUCCAAUCCCCCUUCAUACUUUAAUUUUAGCUUAGGACAGGCAAAAAUACCAAAAUAAGAUUAGGCCGACCCCUUCCCCUUGAUAAUUUGAUAAAUAUUAAUUUAUUACGUAAGAAUCUAAACGAAAAAAUUAAUACACGUUUGGUUUGUUUCAAUGUUUAUUUUUAUUUUUACUUUAAGUAGGUACUAAUAAUUUUUAUUUUUUGGUAGUAAUAAACUUUGGUUUUAAUUAUGAUCUUUACCGACAUAAGAUUUUCAGUCCAGAGGCUUAACAAAAAAAAAAAAAAAAACUACAUAUUCAACUACAAUAUUAAAAUUUAUCAA
Molecule: unclassified non-coding RNA, 633 nt
Filed under: Melitaea cinxia (Glanville fritillary)
Lineage: Eukaryota; Metazoa; Arthropoda; Insecta; Lepidoptera; Nymphalidae
Description: misc RNA ENSMCXG00005021240.1
Source: RNAcentral